RNAcentral lists this ribosomal RNA (500 nucleotides) under uncultured bacterium. RNAcentral describes it as "partial 16S ribosomal RNA". It matches the Rfam family "Bacterial small subunit ribosomal RNA", at positions 30 to 523 of the family's 1533-position model. The record is from RNAcentral.
AUUGAACGCUGGCGGAAUGCUGUACACAUGCAAGUCGAACGGCAGCACGGACUUCGGUCUGGUGGCGAGUGGCGAACGGGUGAGUAAUACAUCGGAACGUGCCCAGUCGUGGGGGAUAACGUAGCGAAAGCUACGCUAAUACCGCAUACGAUCUAAGGAUGAAAGCGGGGGAUCGCAAGACCUCGCGCGAUUGGAGCGGCCGAUGGCAGAUUAGGUAGUUGGUAGGGUAAAGGCCUACCAAGCCGACGAUCUGUAGCUGGUCUGAGAGGAUGAGCAGCCACACUGGGACUGAGACACGGCCCAGGCUCCUACGGGAGGCAGCAGUGGGGAAUUUUGGACGAUGGGCGCAAGCCUGAUCCAGCCAUUCCGCGUGCAGGAUGAAGGCCUUCGGGUUGUAAACUGCUUUUGUACAGAACGAAAAGGCUCUGGUUAAUACCCGGGGCUCAUGACGGUACUGUAAGAAUAAGCACCGGCUAACUACGUGCCAGCAGCCGCAGUAA